RNAcentral lists this ribosomal RNA (200 nucleotides) under uncultured bacterium. RNAcentral's name for it is "partial 16S ribosomal RNA". The record is from RNAcentral.
GAUGAACGCUGGCGGCGUGCCUAAAACAUGCAAGUCGAGCGGUAAGGCUCUGCACUUAGUGUUUGAUCGAUGUAGCCAUUUAUGGCUGCUACAGUUGACCAAUCUGAACCUUGGCGGGGGAAGAGCGGAACAGGAAGAUCGAAUGAUAAGUGUAGAGUACACGAGCGGCGGACGGGUGAGUAACGCGUGGGAACCUACCC